UGGCGAACGGGUGAGUAACGCGUGAGGAACCUGCCUCAAAGAGGGGGACAACAGUUGGAAACGACUGCUAAUACCGCAUAAGCGCACAGUACCGCAUGGUACAGUGUGAAAAACUCCGGUGGUGUGAGAUGGAUCCGCGUCUGAUUAGGUAGUUGGUGGGGUAACGGCCCACCAAGCCGACGAUCAGUAGCCGACCUGAGAGGGUGACCGGCCACAUUGGGACUGAGACACGGCCCAA
RNAcentral lists this ribosomal RNA (238 nucleotides) under uncultured bacterium. RNAcentral describes it as "partial 16S ribosomal RNA". It matches the Rfam family "Bacterial small subunit ribosomal RNA", at positions 96 to 334 of the family's 1533-position model. The record is from RNAcentral.